UCAGGAAACUUGAGUUACCUUAAAGUGAGAGUUGUCCUUGGGUUGCUGGAGUUGCUUUCCUGGAUGGAAAGGGCAAGGCGCUUGCUAUUUAAGAUGAUAAACCAUCUGUAUGUGGCCACAGGACCGUCUGUUAAAGGACAUUAUUUAACUUCUGCAUUGUAGAUCUUGUUGCAUGGACAGCUUAAAAUUUUGAGACAGAUGCAAUGAAGGGAUGCAUAUGAUGGCUUUGGCAAUCCAACGGCUGGUGAUUUUGGCUUAAAGCUCUAGAUGGAUGAUUGCGUUAUCAAUCUGUUCUCUCAAUUCAAACAUGGGGUCAAUCCCAU
Molecule: long non-coding RNA, 323 nt
Organism: Eucalyptus grandis
Lineage: Eukaryota; Viridiplantae; Streptophyta; Magnoliopsida; Myrtales; Myrtaceae
Exons: 3
Source: RefSeq, a predicted model, not a curated record